GCUCAACCGAAGAAGUGCAUCGGAAACUGGGAAACUUGAGUGCAGAAGAGGACAAUGGAACUCCAUGUGUAGCGGUGAAAUGCGUAGAUAUAUGGAAGAACACCAGUGGCGAAGGCGGCUGUCUGGUCUGUAACUGACGCUGAGGCUCGAAAGUAUGGGUAGCAAACAGGAUUAGAUACCCUGGUAGUCCAUACCGUAAACGAUGAAUGCUAAGUGUUGGAGGGUUUCCGCCCUUCAGUGCUGCAGCUAACGCAUUAAGCAUUCCGCCUGGGGAGUACGGCCGCAAGGCUGAAACUCAAAGGAAUUGACGGGGGCCCGCACAAGCGGUGGAGCAUGUGGUUUAAUUCGAAGCUACGCGAAGAACCUUACCAGGUCUUGACAUACUAUGCAAAUCUGAGAGAUUAGACGUUCCCUUCGGGGACAUGGAUACAGGUGGUGCAUGGUUGUCGUCAGCUCGUGUCGUGAGAUGUUGGGUUAAGUCCCGCAACGAGCGCAACCCUUAUUAUCAGUUGCCAGCAUUAAGUUGGGCACUCUGGUGAGACUGCCGGUGACAAACCGGAGGAAGGUGGGGAUGACGUCAAAUCAUCAUGCCCCUUAUGACCUGGGCUACACACGUGCUACAAUGGAUGGUACAACG
RNAcentral lists this ribosomal RNA (637 nucleotides) under uncultured bacterium. Its description in RNAcentral is "bacterial SSU rRNA". It matches the Rfam family "Bacterial small subunit ribosomal RNA", at positions 607 to 1244 of the family's 1533-position model. The record is from RNAcentral.